GACCAGGAGGGGUUUUGGGGUGACCAGGAGAGGUUUUGGGGGUCCCCUCUGCAUUUUCUCCAUACCCAGCUCAGUUUUGGGGUGGCCAGGAGGAGUUUUGGGGUGGCCAGGAGGGGUUUUGGGGUGACCAGGAGAGGUUUUGGGGGUCCCUUGUGCAUUUUCCCCAUCCCCAGCUCAGUUUUGGGGGUCCCCUCUGCAUUUUCUCCAUCCCCAGCUCGGUUUUGGGGUGUGACCAGGAGGGGUUUUGGGGUCCCCUCUGCGUUUUCUCCAUCCUCAGCUCAGUUUUGUGGUGACCAGGAGGGGUUUUGGGGGUCCCCUCUGCAUUUUCUCCAUACCCAGCUCAGUUUUGGGGUGGCCAGGAGGAGUUUUGGGGUGGCCAGGAGGAGUUUUGGGGGUCCUUUCUGUGUUUUCCCCAUCCUCAGCUCUAUUUGGGGGUGACCAGGAGGGGUUUUGGGGGUCCCCUCUGCACUUUCCCCAUCCUCA
RNAcentral lists this long non-coding RNA (483 nucleotides) under Cyanistes caeruleus (blue tit). Its description in RNAcentral is "lncRNA (ENSCCEG00000005033.1)". The record is from RNAcentral. Lineage: Eukaryota; Metazoa; Chordata; Aves; Passeriformes; Paridae.